This 339-nucleotide unclassified non-coding RNA is filed under the name soil metagenome. RNAcentral's name for it is "partial contains 5.8S ribosomal RNA, internal transcribed spacer 2, and large subunit ribosomal RNA". The stretch from base 1 to 120 matches the Rfam family "5.8S ribosomal RNA", at positions 35 to 154 of the family's 154-position model. The record is from RNAcentral.
GAUGAAGAACGUAGCGAAAUGCGAUACGUAGUGUGAAUUGCAGAAUUCAGUGAAUCAUCGAAUCUUUGAACGCACAUUGCACCUCUCGGUAUUCCGGGAGGUAUGCCUGUUCGAGCGUCAUUUGUACCCUCAAGCUCUGCUUGGUGUUGGGUGUUUGUUCCGCCUCUGUGUGUGAACUCGCCUCAAAACAAUUGGCAGCCGGCGUACUUGUUUCGGAGCGCAGCACAUUUUGCGAUCCAGAUCAACGUACAGCGGCAUCCAAGAAGCCUUAUUUAACGCUCUUGACCUCGGAUCAGGUAGGGAUACCCGCUGAACUUAAGCAUAUCAAUAAGCGGACGA